This 492-nucleotide ribosomal RNA is filed under the name uncultured bacterium. Its description in RNAcentral is "partial 16S ribosomal RNA". It matches the Rfam family "Bacterial small subunit ribosomal RNA", at positions 29 to 507 of the family's 1533-position model. The record is from RNAcentral.
AGUGAACGCUGGCGGUAGGCCUAACACAUGCAAGUCGAACGGCAGCACAGUAAGAGCUUGCUCUUACGGGUGGCGAGUGGCGGACGGGUGAGGAAUACAUCGGAAUCUACUUUUUCGUGGGGGAUAACGUAGGGAAACUUACGCUAAUACCGCAUACGACCUACGGGUGAAAGCAGGGGAUCUUCGGACCUUGCGCGAUUGAAUGAGCCGAUGUCGGAUUAGCUAGUUGGCGGGGUAAAGGCCCACCAAGGCGACGAUCCGUAGCUGGUCUGAGAGGAUGAUCAGCCACACUGGAACUGGGACACGGUCCAGACUCCUACGGGAGGCAGCAGUGGGGAAUAUUGGACAAUGGGCGCAAACCUGAUCCAGCCAUACUGCGUGGGUGAAGAAGGCCUUCGGGUUGUAAAGCCCUUUUGUUGGGAAAGAAAAGCAGCAGGUUAAUACCCCGCUGUUCUGACGGUACCCAAAGAAUAAGCACCGGCUAACUUCGUG